Peromyscus maniculatus bairdii (prairie deer mouse) is the source of this 2565-nucleotide non-coding RNA. The record is from RefSeq and is a predicted model, not a curated record. NCBI's taxonomy places the organism in Eukaryota, Metazoa, Chordata, Mammalia, Rodentia, Cricetidae.
AGCCACCACGCCUGGUGGUUUAUUUUUAUUUUAUGUGCCUUGGUGUUUUGCCUGCAUGUUUAUCUGUGUGAAGGUGUCAGAUACCCUGGAAUUGGAGUUACAGUCAGUUGUGAGCUGACAUAUGGAUACUAGAAAUUGAUCCUGGGUCCUGUUUUUAACUGCUGAGCCCUCUCUCCAGCCCUGAAAACAAUUUUUCUUAUUGAACUAUCUCACACCUUUUUAAAAACCUGCCAUUCUUUCUCCUCUGUAGUACUCCCCACCCCACCUUACCCCUCCCCCAAUUCCUGAGACCUUCAGGACUCAUAAUACUUCUGGCCUGGCAGCCUCCUAAAUAGCUUGGACUGCAGAGGCAGGUAAUCAUAGCUUCUAGGGUGUUUUCUUGUUUUGAGACAAGAGCUUGUCAUGUAGAUGGGAACUCAGCGUAUAGCACACACAGUCUUCAAAGCUGGAACCUUGUUGCCACAGACUCCCAACUGCUGGGAUUAUAGGCAUGUGCAACCAAGCCUGGUUAGUUUUUGUUUUGUUUUGUUUUUAUGAAAGAAAAUCCAAUAACCACCAGGCACAUAAGGAGUAAAGGAUCAAAACAAUUAACUAAAUUAACUGUAAAAGAGGAUGAUCUUUUUUUUUCACUGCAACAGAGUAAAUUAUAAUCAAGUAUAGUUUGAAAUAUGCAAGCACAUUUUACCAUAUAAUAAUAAAUUAUACAGUGAUAGUUUUGGUUGUUUCAGUAAAUGUACUAAUACCUUACAAUCAUGGUUAAAUAAUAGCAGUGACAGCAACAUUCUGUCUUGUUCCUGAUUAAGUGGGAAUAUCCCUAAUAUUUCCUAAGUACAAAACUAACUUUUGGUGUUAGACAGCAUGUUAAGAAAUUAUCCAUUUGUUCCUAUUUUUACUGAGUAUUUGCACUUGAAAAUAGGGUAAUGCAAAUUCUAUUGCAGACAAAUGAUAUAUAUAAAGUUCACUUUGCUAUGAUGCUUGUAACUACAAGAAACUGUGGUAAUUCUCAGUAACAGGGGUUAGUUAUUCAUCUUUUUAAACAUUCUGACUUGGAAAGCCUACUAAAAGUAAUAUAUAGGGUUUCCUUCUUUAUGUUAUAGCAGAAGUAAGUGUUUGUUUUAGCAUCCACCAAGUUUCUCAAUCUGGUUUUGUUGUUUUGAGACAGGACUUUGCAAUAGUAUCCCAGGCUAGAUACCUUGGCCUCCAGAGUGCUUGGCUUAUAGGCAUGCUUCACUAUACCUGCUUUCAACUGAUUCUGUAAACAUUCUUUCCCAUAGAAAUGGGAUGCUAUAUACUAAACAAUGGAAAUAUAUUGUGUUUUUAUAGCAUUCAUAUUAAUUUCACUAGUAGCUGAUACCUUUGCAGCCUUCAACUGUAGCAGUUAACACCGAUUCUAAAACUAGAGGCCACUACUGAUGAAGAAUCAGCUACUAUUUAGAAAUAUGGCCAUUAUUUGUUACAAGUUUGUGAACUAAUUAAAUUUACUUCUGCGUAUUCAUCAUUUUUUGGUGUGAAACUCUAUACUGAUGAGUCUUUGCUUUCUAAGAACAGCACUAGUUUUAUCUAUUGCUCCAGAAGAUGUAGAACAAAUAUAUUUUGGCAUCAAUGAGGUAAAAAGUACAUUUGUACUUUCAUGUUACUGAAAAUAAUUAUCUAGAAGUUAAGAAAUUAAACUCAAGAAAGCAGCUGGCUAAUUAAUAGCUCAUCUGAUCAAUCAGAAAACAUCAUCCAAUAAAAAAAAUAGAAAAUGUUCUAAAACUGAAGAAUAAAUGUUUAAUUUCAGAAUAUAAGACUAAAACCCACAAUGUUUUUAGGAAAAAGAUAAAAGAGCUGAGGAAUAAGAAAUGUCUUUGAAUUUCUUUACAGCAGUAAACUUCGACCUUAGAGAGAGGCCUGUCAAUAACAAUAACAUUUUCAUACCUGUAUGGUCUCAGGUUUUACCUCUCAUGAUAUACUACAUAAAAAUGAAGCAUUAAGUCAAAAAAGAGUACAGAGAGCUGGGUUCUAGGAGAGAUACAGUCUAAGACAGAGAGGAGAUAUGGAGGUUUAGGGCAAUGGUUAAGGAGGGGUCCUAGUAGCAGGGUUGAACUACAUUCCCUAUGAGUGGUGAGGCUUCUAAGACGUCCCGCCCCCCCCCCCAAAAAAAAAAAACCCACAGGCAUUUGCCAUGCUAUUGGCUGUCUACCCUAUUGAUAAGAUAUCGCACACUGUAAAAAACCAAACUACAAACCAGAAUGGAAAACUGGUCAAAGUGCUGAGAUUAUGAGACUGUUAAAUGCUAUCUAGUGAGAAGACAACACAGAAUGUAGUCAGGCAGUGGUGGUACAUUCCUUUAAUCUCAGCACCUGGGAAGCAGAUCUCUGUGAAUUCAAGGCCAGCCUGAGAAACCCUGUCUUGAAAAACAAAAAGGAAAAAUAGAAAAAAGAAAAUGCUUGAAUCUCACCGAAAUACAACUUUAUGGGAGCUCUAACCAAGAGCUUGCCUCACGACAGUGCUGAAGAUACACUGAGAAGAGCAUACUUACAUAUUUCUGUUCAACAGUAAACUCAGACUUAAAAGAAAAAAAAA